Molecule: regulatory RNA element, 62 nt
Organism: Marinobacter lutaoensis
Lineage: Bacteria; Pseudomonadati; Pseudomonadota; Gammaproteobacteria; Pseudomonadales; Marinobacteraceae
Rfam family: L31-Gammaproteobacteria ribosomal protein leader
Source: Rfam
CAUGCGGUGCCCGGCGCGGAAAAUAAGAGCUGUGACUGGGUAGCGGCAUGACCGAUUGAGGU